Macaca mulatta (Rhesus monkey) is the source of this 1906-nucleotide long non-coding RNA. The record is from Ensembl. Lineage: Eukaryota; Metazoa; Chordata; Mammalia; Primates; Cercopithecidae.
AUGAUUAUUUCAGAGAGAAGGCAAGGUCCAUUAUUUCAUUUUUUAGAGAAUUCUAGUCAUAGUGAAAUGCUCAGAGUGAAGAUGCUGGCAAGGAACAAAAUGGAAUUAAUAUCCAUUCAGUUCCCAUUGACUGCCAGAAAAUGGGAUAGAUGUCCUACAUGUUCAGAAUCUCAGGUGACUAUCAUAAGAACCUGGUCAAAAGGCCACCCUGGCAAACUAAGAACACAGAAUUUUAUUACAGCUGCUGGAUAUGAAGACUCAGCAUAUGAUAUCGGUGACGUUAACACCCUCCCAGGGAGAAGCGCUGUUCCUUCUGGCUGGGAAGUGCAAGCCGCCUGGCUAAUGUUAUCCAGAUGUAUCGAAACCUCAGGAGUGACAUGGAACGGUAGUCCCUGCUUGAACCACUUACCUGCUUUCCUGACACCAGCAAUCACACACACCUGACACUGACCUGAAGCCUCUGACCUGUCCUCGGAGGCAAAGACCGAGUAGACAAGAUGCCUGGUUACCAGCAAUCGUCUGCAAUUUCCUCUGAGCUAAUGAGAUUGCUUUUCUCUUUGCUCAAAUUAUGUGAGAAUAUUUUUUAAAAGAAUUUAAUGUGCUCUUUUGAUAUUUCAGGUGUUCAGUCAAAAGCCUAUGUUAUUCUCCAUCUCUCUCUCUCUCUCUUUUCCUAGUUGGGUAAUCAAAAUGGCACAACCAGAAAUAUUUAUAUCUGCAACAGAAAAGAAGAAUAAAUGUAUUCAUGCACAAGUACAUUAUAUAUGUAUAUAUGUUUGUGUAUACAUAUAUCUAUAUAAUUGAUAUAUUUGGGAGAAAUAAAAGGUUUCAUUAAGCACACAGGUUCUAGAGUUAGACCCUCUGUUGCAAAUUACUGUCCUGUCACUUAACUCCUGACAGAACAAAGUGCAUACUUGGACAAAAUGCCUGCUCUGUAAAAAUGCCUUGGUCUUGAAUAAAAUGCCUGCUACGUCAAAGCUUUUAUUUUCCCAUCUGGAGAAUGGGAACAAUAAUAAGAACCCUCACUUAACAGAUAAUGGACAAAGGUGCUUACAGCACAGAGCCUGCCACAGACAAUGUCCUCAAUUAAUGCAAACUAUUAAUAUUAUGAAAAGUGAAUAUCUGUUUUCUGACAAUGUUUUCAAUAAUAUAAAUUAUGCCUUUGUUCCCUUUAUUUGUUUGAAAAAAAAAACAAUAAAAAAGCAAACAAAAAAGUGUCUUUAAAGUGUCCAUUUGUCUUUCUUCUAGACUGCUAGUAAUCCUUUCCUGUGUUUAGGGAAUUUUUACCUCAUGGGUUUUGGUGAAUGAAUGAAUUCAUCUGCCUCUACAGAAAAGAAAAUGCCUGAUGCAUUUUCUCAGCCUUUAUUCCAGGUAGUCAGGUAGACUGUGGACUCCAGCAAUUAGACACACUCCUCACAACCUCCCCAUCACACACACACACACACACACACACACACACACACACACACACGGCUGCUGGAGUUGCAGGAUCUGGAAGGAACUGUCUGGCAGGGAUGGAGUGUGCAGGGUGCCUAGUGAGUUCCAGGGUGACUGUGGCUGCCCUAGCUGUGGCAGCACCAGGGCUCUAAGCCAGGUCCUGCAGACUGGCUCACCCUGCAGCAUGGGCGCCCUCUCCUCCUUCCCAUUCCCAGGACACAUCCUGUGCAGGGGAAGAACGGGUCCUUCUAGUUGUAGCCACAGGUCCGUUGGUCUGCUGACCUCCACCUCCUCAACAUUCAACUUCCCAGCAUUGAGUAUCUCAGAAAUGGUAUUUAUCAGAAAAGAGGGUGAACAGGGCAACUGCUUUAGGAGGAGCCCUCCGAGCCAGCUGCUUCCUCUCCUGUCUCCUAGGGAGAACCUAAGCUGUCAGAGUUCACACCUGUCCCACACCACACGAGCCAGAGCUGGA